This 276-nucleotide long non-coding RNA is filed under the name Amborella trichopoda. RNAcentral describes it as "long non-coding RNA (ATRI_LNC002853)". Lineage: Eukaryota; Viridiplantae; Streptophyta; Magnoliopsida; Amborellales; Amborellaceae. The record is from RNAcentral.
UAUAUACGAUGUGUAUACACGUAUUUGUGUGUAAAGUGCAUAAUAGUAAAUUUUCAGUGCAUUACUAUAUACAUUUCUAUAUGCAUUGAUGUAUACACUUAUUAUCAGUUUAAACAUUUAUUAAUGUAUAAUGUACACUGAUUUAUAUACUAUACACACACACACAUGCAUUCAUACUCACACUCACACUCACACUUACACUCACACUCACACCCACGUACACACACACUCUCAGUCACACUGAUAUCGUACGCACAUGCACCCUUACGUAUUGAU